This 125-nucleotide small RNA is filed under the name Thioalkalivibrio versutus. RNAcentral's name for it is "RtT sRNA". It matches the Rfam family "RtT RNA". From Rfam's summary of the family: This family represents a bacterial cis-regulatory element known as RtT RNA. Lineage: Bacteria; Pseudomonadati; Pseudomonadota; Gammaproteobacteria; Chromatiales; Ectothiorhodospiraceae. The record is from RNAcentral.
CCAAACUGCCGGGACGGCAGGAUGAGAACCGGGUUCGACUCGAGCGGCAUCGCCGCGAGAGAACGCCGCCACAGGCGGCGGCCCGAAGGGCGGCGCGCAGCGCCGUAAUCCUGCCGGCCCAGCCA